This 1255-nucleotide ribosomal RNA is filed under the name unidentified archaeon PM8. RNAcentral describes it as "16S ribosomal RNA". It matches the Rfam family "Archaeal small subunit ribosomal RNA". Lineage: Archaea; Thermoproteati; Thermoproteota. The record is from RNAcentral.
GGACCUGACUGCUAUCGGAUUGAUACUAAGCCAUGCGAGUCGUUGUAGCAAUACAAGGCAUACGGCUCAGUAACGCGUAGUCAACCUAACCUAUGGACGGGAAUAACUUCGGGAAACUGAGAAUAAUGCCCGAUAGAACAUUAUGCCUGGAAUGGUUUAUGUUCCAAAUGAUUUAUCGGCCGUAGAUGGGACUGCGGCCUAUCAGUUUGUUGGUGAGGUAAUGGCCCACCAAGACUAUUACAGGUACGGGCUCUGAGAGGAGUAGCCCGGAGAUGGGUACUGAGACACGGACCCAGGCCCUAUGGGGCGCAGCAGGCGAGAAAACUUUGCAAUGUGCGAAAGUACGACAAGGUUAAUCCGAGUGGUUUCUGCUAAGAAACCUUUUGUCAGUCCUAGAAACACUGAUGAAUAAGGGGUGGGCAAGUCUGGUGUCAGCCGCCNGGGUAAAACCAGCCACCUCAGUGGUCAGGAUGAUUAUUGGGCCUAAAGCAUCCGUAGCCGGCUCUGUAAGUUUUCGGUUAAAUCUGUACGCUCAACGUACAGGCUGCCGGGAAUACUGCAGAGCUAGGGAGUGGGAGAGGUAGACGGUACUCGGUAGGAAGGGGUAAAAUCCUUUGAUCUAUUGAUGACCACCUGUGGCGAAGGCGGUCUACCAGAACACGUCGACGGUGAGGGAUGAAAGCUGGGGGAGCAAACCGGAUUAGAUACCCGGGUAGUCCCAGCUGUAAACUAUGCAAACUCAGUGAUGCAUUGGCUUGUGGCCAAUGCAGUGCUGCAGGGAAGCCGUUAAGUUUGCCACCUGGGAAGUACGUACGCAAGUAUGAAACUUAAAGGAAUUGGCGGGGGAGCACCACAAGGGGUGAAGCUGCGGUUCAAUUGGAGUCAACGCCAGAAAUCUUACCCGGAGAGACAGCAGAAUGAAGGUCAAGGUGAAGACUUUACCAGACAAGCUGAGAGGUGGUGCAUGGCCGUGGGGGACCGCCGCAGUUAAUGCGGAGGAAGGAAGGGGCCACGGCAGGUCAGUAUGCCCCGAAACUCUGGGGCCACACGCGGGCUGCAAUGGUAACGACAAUUGGUUUCGAAUCCGAAAGGAUGAGGUAAUCCUCAAACGUUACCACAGUUAUGACUGAGGGCUGCAACUCGCCCUCACGAAUAUGGAAUCCCUAGUAACUGCGUGUCAUUAUCGCGCGGUGAAUACGUCCCUGCUCCUUGCACACACCGCCCGUCGUUUCAUUGAAGUGAGCUUUUAGCGAGG